RNAcentral lists this small nuclear RNA (114 nucleotides) under Echinops telfairi (small Madagascar hedgehog). RNAcentral describes it as "U5 spliceosomal RNA (ENSETEG00000022885.1)". It matches the Rfam family "U5 spliceosomal RNA". Rfam says of the family: U5 RNA is a component of both types of known spliceosome. The precise function of this molecule is unknown, though it is known that the 5' loop is required for splice site selection and p220 binding, and that both the 3' stem-loop and the Sm site are important for Sm protein binding and cap methylation. Lineage: Eukaryota; Metazoa; Chordata; Mammalia; Afrosoricida; Tenrecidae. The record is from RNAcentral.
AUACUCUGGUUUCUCUUCAAAUCGUAUAAAUCUUUCGCCUUUUAUUAAGAUUUCCGUGGAGAGGAACAAGUAAGAGUUUAUAACUAAUUUUUUGAAGUCCUGCAGAGUAGGGCU